This 173-nucleotide small nuclear RNA is filed under the name Suricata suricatta (meerkat). RNAcentral's name for it is "U2 spliceosomal RNA (ENSSSUG00005006476.1)". It matches the Rfam family "U2 spliceosomal RNA". Rfam says of the family: U2 is a small nuclear RNA (snRNA) component of the spliceosome (involved in pre-mRNA splicing). Complementary binding between U2 snRNA (in an area lying towards the 5' end but 3' to hairpin I) and the branchpoint sequence (BPS) of the intron results the bulging out of an unpaired adenosine, on the BPS, which initiates a nucleophilic attack at the intronic 5' splice site, thus starting the first of two transesterification reactions that mediate splicing. Lineage: Eukaryota; Metazoa; Chordata; Mammalia; Carnivora; Herpestidae. The record is from Rfam by way of RNAcentral.
AUCGCUUCUCGGCCUUUUGGCUAACAUCAAGUGUAGUAUCUGUUCUUAUCAGUUUAACAUAUAGUUAAUGUUGUAUAUGUGUGUAGCAUUUUUAUAGUUCUCAAAGGCAUGUAUAGUACAGUGCUUGAAUUUUGCUGGGAAUUUGGAAGGACUUCAAGGAAAGGGAAAAAAAC